GACGAACGCUGGCGGCGUGCUUAACACAUGCAAGUCGAACGGAAAGGCCCUGCUUUUGUGGGGUGCUCGAGUGGCGAACGGGUGAGUAACACGUGAGUAACCUGCCCUUGACUUUGGGAUAACUUCAGGAAACUGGGGCUAAUACCGGAUAGGAGCUCCUGCUGCAUGGUGGGGGUUGGAAAGUUUCGGCGGUUGGGGAUGGACUCGCGGCUUAUCAGCUUGUUGGUGGGGUAGUGGCUUACCAAGGCUUUGACGGGUAGCCGGCCUGAGAGGGUGACCGGCCACAUUGGAACUGAGAUACGGCCCAGACUCCUACGGGAGGCAGCAGUAGGGAAUAUUGCACAAUGGGCGGAAGCCUGAUGCAGCAACGCCGCGUGCGGGAUGACGGCCUUCGGGUUGUAAACCGCUUUCGCCUGUGACGAAGAGUGAGUGACGGUAAUGGGUAAAGAAGCACCGGCUAACUACGUG
This 468-nucleotide ribosomal RNA is filed under the name uncultured bacterium. Its description in RNAcentral is "partial 16S ribosomal RNA". It matches the Rfam family "Bacterial small subunit ribosomal RNA", at positions 28 to 507 of the family's 1533-position model. The record is from RNAcentral.